RNAcentral lists this ribosomal RNA (207 nucleotides) under uncultured bacterium. Its description in RNAcentral is "partial 16S ribosomal RNA". It matches the Rfam family "Bacterial small subunit ribosomal RNA", at positions 568 to 774 of the family's 1533-position model. The record is from RNAcentral.
CGCGUAGGCGGUUCGCUAAGUUGGAUGUGAAAACUCUGGGCUCAACCCAGAGCCUGCAUCCAAAACUGGCGGGCUAGAGUUCUGGAGGGGGUAGCGGAAUUCCUGGUGUAGCGGUGAAAUGCGUAGAUAUCAGGAGGAACACCGGUGGCGAAGGCGGCCACCUGGACAGAAACUGACGCUGAGGCGCGAAAGCUAGGGGAGCAAACA